RNAcentral lists this ribosomal RNA (657 nucleotides) under uncultured bacterium. Its description in RNAcentral is "bacterial SSU rRNA". It matches the Rfam family "Bacterial small subunit ribosomal RNA", at positions 28 to 692 of the family's 1533-position model. The record is from RNAcentral.
GAUGAACGCUGGCGGCGUGCUUAACACAUGCAAGUCGAACGGGAUCCAUCGGGCUUUGCUUGGUGGUGAGAGUGGCGAACGGGUGAGUAAUGCGUGACCGACCUGCCCCAUGCUCCGGAAUAGCUCCUGGAAACAGGUGGUAAUGCCGGAUGUUCCACAUGAUCGCAUGUGAUUGUGGGAAAGAUUCUAUCGGCGUGGGAUGGGGUCGCGUCCUAUCAGCUUGUUGGUGAGGUAACGGCUCACCAAGGCUUCGACGGGUAGCCGGCCUGAGAGGGCGACCGGCCACAUUGGGACUGAGAUACGGCCCAGACUCCUACGGGAGGCAGCAGUGGGGAAUAUUGCACAAUGGGCGCAAGCCUGAUGGCAGCGACGCCGCGUGAGGGAUGGAGGCCUUCGGGUUGUAAACCUCUUUUGUUUGGGAGCAAGCCUUCGGGUGAGUGUACCUUUCGAAUAAGCGCCGGCUAACUACGUGCCAGCAGCCGCGGUAAUACGUAGGGCGCAAGCGUUAUCCGGAUUUAUUGGGCGUAAAGGGCUCGUAGGCGGCUCGUCGCGUCCGGUGUGAAAGUCCAUCGCUUAACGGUGGAUCUGCGCCGGGUACGGGCGGGCUGGAGUGCGGUUGGGGAGUCUGGAGUUCCCGGUGUUUCGGUGGAAUGUGUU